GUAGUCUCGCACAGAUGCAUAUCAAUAAGCGGAGGAAAAGAAACUAACAAGGAUUCCCCUAGUAACGGCGGUGAAGCGGGAAGAGCUCAAAUUUGAAAUCUUAAAGGGUUUCCCUUUACGAAUUGUAGUUUAAAGAAGUGUUUUCUGUUGAGGUUUUGGUAAAAGUUCUUUGGAAUAGGACAUCAUAGAGGGUGAGAAUCCCGUAUUUGACCUUUACUUUCAACUUUGUGAUACACUUUCAAAGAGUCGGAUUGUUUGGGAAUGCAGUCCAAAAUGGGUGGUAAAUUUCAUCUAAAGCUAAAUAUUGGCGAGAGACCGAUAGCGAACAAGUACCGUGAGGGAAAGAUGAAAAGAACUUUGAAAAGAGAGUUAAACAGUACGUGAAAUUGUCAAAAGGGAAGCGUUUGACACCAGUGUUGUUUUUCUGAAAAUCAAUUAAAGAACUGUUUAUGCUAAGCUGUUUAGACUUUAUCAGCUAUCUGUUUAGUUUUGAGCUUUUCUUUAAUGCACCUUUUCAGUUAACAAGUCAACAUCAAUUUCUUUUGCUGUAAAAAAGCUUGAGGAAGGUGGCUUGAGAUUCGUCUUAAGUGUUUAUAGCCUCCUGCCUAUGCAGUCGGAGAGAUUGAGGUCUGCAGCGUAGAUCCUUCGGGGCUAAAUGCAUUUGUGCUAAGUUAUAGCAUUUUAUAGACAACUUGUUGACUAUGAUUUGUCUUGUAGCUUACUCGCUUAUGUUAUUUUACCUACGCUUAGGAUGUUGACGCAUGAGAUAUACGC
RNAcentral lists this ribosomal RNA (774 nucleotides) under uncultured Neocallimastigales. RNAcentral describes it as "partial large subunit ribosomal RNA". It matches the Rfam family "Eukaryotic large subunit ribosomal RNA", at positions 24 to 646 of the family's 3401-position model. Lineage: Eukaryota; Fungi; Neocallimastigomycota; Neocallimastigomycetes; Neocallimastigales. The record is from RNAcentral.